CUAUGACCAGGGUUUAUUUCCUCGACACAGACAAUGUUUAUUGUUUCUUUUUCUAUUCCUGUUUAGUCUUUUAAGACAGAGAGGCUUCGUAUCUGAAUUUUGUGUAACCACCUUAAAAUCGCAGACUGUAUCGUGGUAGAUCUAAUCAUUGGUUUACUUUGAAGCUGAUUUGAAGUCUGGUCUGUGGAGAUAUUGGUCUAACUUUAUUGGGGAAAAAAUACAUCAAUUUGUACCACACAGAAACACAAACUACACAUGGCUCCUCAUCUCUCCCUCCUCCUCCUCAGCUUCUCCAGACUCUCAGGUACUCAGGCAGGAGCGUACGGUGUGUCAACUGUGAGUAAGGUGUCUGUGAAGACAGGAAACUACAUCACCAUCCCAUGUCGCUAUGAUCAGAGAUACAUACAAUAUGUCAAAUACUGGUGUCAAGGAGAUUACUGGAAUUCUUGUUCUGCUCUUGUACGCACGGACCAAACAAAGAUAUCUGGGACAGUGUCCAUCUCUGAUGAUGUCACCCGAAGAAUCUUCUCUGUUAACAUGACUGAUCUGCAGCCAGAGGACUCUGGGUAUUACUGGUGUGCUGUGGAGACUGCAGGACGAGAUCAAAGUACAUACUUGCACCUGUCAGUCACCACAGGUUAGCCCUCCAUACCUCUCCUCAAUCACACUGUGUUUGAUCAUCAUAGAGAGCUGACUUAGAGAGUACAACUUGGGCUUGUAUUUUAUGCACUAUAGUAAUACUUCCAGGUCACAUGCCAUCAUCCUUUGGUUUAUUUGUUCAGUAUGACACAGCUAUGUAGCUAUUGAUUUGGGGGAGACUGUUUUAAGGCUCUAAAUACAAUGUAUUUACAUGGUUAUACAUACAGGCAGACACAAUGUAAAUAUGGAAUGGGUUUAUAUUGUAGGUAUACAUUGUUACACUGUGGACAACAGAAACACUUUAUUAUGAAGGGUAAGGACGUCAUAACACAUUCAUAAACCAUGCAUAAUGAAUUCAAAAUCACAACCUAAUCAAUCUACACACACUACCCCAUUACGACAAAACAAAAACAGGUUUACCUUAUUUCCAUACACUACCGGUCAGGUUUUACAACACCGACUCAGUCAAGAGUUGUUCUUUAGUUUUACUAUUUUAUACAUUGUAGAAUAAUAGUGAAGACAUCAGAACUAUGAAAUAACACACAUGGAAUCAUUUAUUAACCAAAAAAGUGUCAAACAAAUCAAACUAUAUUUUAGAUUUUAGAUUCUUCAAUGUAGCCACCCUUUAACUUGAGGACAGCUUUGCACACUCUUGGCUUUAUGUAUUAUACAUGUCAUUUCGAUGUUUAUACUAUACAAACAUAUUUUAUUUAAGUAUUUCUCAAAAUCCAUAUAUAGUAGACAAACCAGUUUAAAAACGAUAUGUUUACCAAACGGUUAAGUGAUUAACCAUUAAGCACCGUUGGAUUACCAAAUGUAUUUCAACAAGUGAGAAGAGAAUCAUAUGAAAAGUAUUGUGAGCAUUGCAUUGUGAGGGGCAAUUACUUUAUAUGAAAGGUGUUUAUAGAUUAAAUACUGAUUAGGUUUGGUGGAAAAAGUUACUGAGUGAUUUUGUGUGUCCUUUUUGAGGAUCUGUUUUGUACU
This is a long non-coding RNA of Oncorhynchus masou masou (cherry salmon), 1623 nucleotides long. RefSeq lists it as uncharacterized. The transcript is spliced from 3 exons. NCBI's taxonomy places the organism in Eukaryota, Metazoa, Chordata, Actinopteri, Salmoniformes, Salmonidae. The record is from RefSeq and is a predicted model, not a curated record.